This 234-nucleotide long non-coding RNA is filed under the name Capsicum annuum. RNAcentral describes it as "long non-coding RNA (CANN_LNC012428)". The record is from RNAcentral. Lineage: Eukaryota; Viridiplantae; Streptophyta; Magnoliopsida; Solanales; Solanaceae.
ACCCGUUAUCCUUACCCCCGACAGAUUAAACCCAAGGAAGAUUUAGACAUUAUUCACCACAUGAGUCCAUGGUAUGACUCGUACCCCGACUUAAGGCUAAUGGUGAGCCUCUCGUACUCAGAUCCAACCUAAGUAACCAAGUCUAAGAUUAAAUUAAGGAACCAAAUGAUCCGUACCAACCAAUAUGACUCAUAUCCCUAAGUCGUAUCAUUUCAAGUAAACAAAAUCCAUUCC